UCCACCACUUUCCUUUCUUACCUCUCAACCCUUCCCCCUGUGGUUGCCCUUCGCUUGCCCCUGGAUGGAUCCAGUUUGCACACAGUGGUGGCUGCUGUGGGGCCACCGCUAAACAGAACAGCUCAGACUGCAACAGGAAAGCACUGAAUCGAAAGCAAAGGGGAGGAAGCACAAACCAAUACCCACCACAAAGCUGCUGAGUGCCCAGCAUGACCCAAGCCGCACCCUCCGAUGAGGAGUCUUGUGCAGGAGUCAGAAGCCACAGGCUUUAAUGAAUCAUCAGCACAGCCUGUUCUUCACUUCCCCUGAUCCAACCUUCCUGGGUCACCAUGACUUACCAGGUCCCACCUUCUGCCUGUCCAUAGUGAGCGCUGCUACCAGAGCUUCUCCAGAGGCCUGGGAAAGCUGCAUUCUACGCCAGCGGACGAGAAAGCUCAAGCAACUCACGUCACAUUUCAGAAUCCACCGUGUGCUCCGCCACUGGUGGCCCAGCCAGGUACUUUGAGGAGGUAGGAGGAAUGAGCAUCAUUCGUCGCUGAUAAGGAAGAUGGCCCCAGCAUGUUCCAGAACCUCCUCCUGACAGAAUGUGCCUGU
Long non-coding RNA from Myotis lucifugus (little brown bat), 594 nucleotides. RefSeq lists it as uncharacterized. NCBI's taxonomy places the organism in Eukaryota, Metazoa, Chordata, Mammalia, Chiroptera, Vespertilionidae. The transcript has 4 exons. The record is from RefSeq and is a predicted model, not a curated record.